This 309-nucleotide ribosomal RNA is filed under the name uncultured bacterium. Its description in RNAcentral is "partial 16S ribosomal RNA". It matches the Rfam family "Bacterial small subunit ribosomal RNA", at positions 504 to 808 of the family's 1533-position model. The record is from RNAcentral.
AGAAACAGCAGUCGCCCGGGAAUACAGAGGGUGCGAGCGUUAAUCGGAUUUACUGGGCGUAAAGCGUGCGUAGGCGGCUUCUUAAGUCGGAUGUGAAAUCCCUGAGCUUAACUUAGGAAUUGCAUUCGAUACUGGGAAGCUAGAGUAUGGGAGAGGAUGGUAGAAUUCCAGGUGUAGCGGUGAAAUGCGUAGAGAUCUGGAGGAAUACCGAUGGCGAAGGCAGCCAUCUGGCCUAAUACUGACGCUGAGGUACGAAAGCAUGGGGAGCAAACAGGAUUAGAUACCCCCGUAGUCCCUGUCUCUUAUACC